This 1288-nucleotide long non-coding RNA is filed under the name Fragaria vesca (wild strawberry). RNAcentral's name for it is "long non-coding RNA (FVES_LNC003917)". Lineage: Eukaryota; Viridiplantae; Streptophyta; Magnoliopsida; Rosales; Rosaceae. The record is from RNAcentral.
CAGGCUGAUGAGCAAAUCCAGAACAAGUUGCAGGGCUCUUGAAUUGAUUUGCAGUUCUAUAAGAAUGCUGUGGAGAAGCAACAGAAGGAUGCUGUGAGACAAAAAUUGAAUACUAAUAAGCAGUAGACAAUCCAAUCCCACAAGGAAAUUUAGACCAAUGAAUUGGUGAAGGAUGAACAAUACCUCUACUGCAAGGGUAUCAAUUAUUUCAUCCAUUCUAGACAACUCCAUUUUGCUUCUCUGCCCAGUUGAAGUUUUCUUCUGAUUCUCUUGGAAGGCUUCCUUCUGUCCUUCCCAUACUUCGUCCUUGUAAUCAGUCCCAUCUGCCUGAAAGAGCAAAUGACGCGCAAAUACUAAAAUACAGGCUUCAUCACGUGUUGGCUGUUCUAUUGCAGCAAUGUCAAAUAUAACAAGAGAGUUACACUGUGGUUGAAAUCCAACGGAGAAUGAGGAUCGCCUAGGGUUUUGGAUGAGGAGAUUUGAAGAGGUUGGGGGAAGAAAAAAGAGGAGAGAGGAAAAGAAGAGAGAGAGAGAGAGAGAGAGAGAGAGAGAGAGAGAGAGAGAGAGAGAGAGAGNNNNNNNNNNNNNNNNNNNNGAGAGAGAGAGAGGAAGGUAUGUGAGCCCUGGUUUAACACCACCGCGUCUCCUCAACUCUGCAGAAGCACACUGCAGCACCCCACCAAAAUUGUGUGAGGGGCCAAUAAUAAGGGGGGCACAUCAGUCUUUUCGCGGUGUAGGGCAGAAAAUCAAUUGUGGGGACGAUAUCGUAGGUCUCGUAUGGAACCAAUUUAAUUGGCGACACGUAAGAAUAGGGUCUUUUUUGGUCGGGAACACUAUAGUGAGGUAUUCCGCGUUGUGCUAGAUCAUACCUUAGUGGGACCCACAAGCUCGGAGGGAGCUCAAAAAUUAGGCGGGAUAAACCCAAAACCUAGAAAGAGGGAGAUACUUGGGGCCCAUACGUGUGGGAGAUUCUCAUUUAUUAUGGGCCGGGUACAAAUUCCCGAAUUUUUAUUUAUUUGGUAAUUCAAGGGAGGGAGAUUAUGUGUUUCUAUUUUCUUUUCUUUUUUUGAAAUCGAUGUGUUUCUAUUUUCUAGUGUAUUGAAUCUAAACAUCGAUGGCUUCGAUCGUGUUGUCUAUUUACUAAUUUAGCUUUUAUCAUGUCAUUUUGUUGCGAUCUUACGGAUUUGCAAAUUGGCCAAGUUACUACCCAACUAUCAAAUAUUCUACUUUCCAUAUAACUUUUCCCACUAUAGUAACAAAUAUAUGCUAUGCACGUAAAGGUAUUUUG